This is a transfer RNA of Camelus ferus (Wild Bactrian camel), 72 nucleotides long. It matches the Rfam family "tRNA". Rfam says of the family: Transfer RNA (tRNA) molecules are approximately 80 nucleotides in length. The record is from Rfam. Lineage: Eukaryota; Metazoa; Chordata; Mammalia; Artiodactyla; Camelidae.
GAGGGUAUAGCUCACUGGUAGAGUGUGCACUUAGCAUGCACAAGGUCCUGGGUUCAAUCCCCAGUAACUUCA